This 711-nucleotide ribosomal RNA is filed under the name Eriotheca pubescens. Its description in RNAcentral is "eukaryotic LSU rRNA". The stretch from base 296 to 451 matches the Rfam family "5.8S ribosomal RNA". Lineage: Eukaryota; Viridiplantae; Streptophyta; Magnoliopsida; Malvales; Malvaceae. The record is from RNAcentral.
GCUGCCCCUCGGAAACGACCCGUGAACGCGUUAAGUACAAACAUCCCGGGGGGGUGAGGGUGCGUCCGCGCCCCGAGCCCUCUCGGCGCCCUUGCGUGCGCGACCGCACCCGUUCCGCCCCCCCGGGCGUGCGGGAUGCCCGGUCGCGUCGCUUGCGGCCGAACAACGAACCCCCGGCGCGAGUCGCGCCAAGGAAUCGGAACGACGACGAGGGUCUCGUCCGUUGCCCGUCGCCCCGUCCGCGGUGUGCGUGCGGGCAGCGGCGCGUCUCCUCCGUCGCGAAAAAAUACGAAACGACUCUCGGCAACGGAUAUCUCGGCUCUCGCAUCGAUGAAGAACGUAGCGAAAUGCGAUACUUGGUGUGAAUUGCAGAAUCCCGUGAACCAUCGAGUCUUUGAACGCAAGUUGCGCCCCAAGCCAUUAGGCCGAGGGCACGUCUGCCUGGGUGUCACGCAUCGUCGCCCCCUCCGGACCCUUAGCCCCUCGGGGCUAGGUGGGGGCGGAAAAUGGCCUCCCGUGCGCUCCCCGCUCGCGGUUGGCCUAAAAACAGAGUCCUCGGCGACGACGGCGCCGCGACGAUCGCUGGUGACGCCUCGAGCGCGCCUCGUCCACGGUCGCGUGCGCCUUCGUUCCGUCGGACCCAUCGAGAGACCCUUUCGGCGUCGCACGAUCGAUGCCCGCGUCGCGACCCCAGGUCAGGCGGGACUACCC